Molecule: ribosomal RNA, 466 nt
Filed under: uncultured bacterium
Lineage: Bacteria
Description: partial 16S ribosomal RNA
Rfam family: Bacterial small subunit ribosomal RNA
Source: RNAcentral
CGAACGCUGGCGGCGUGCUUCACACAUGCAAGUCGAGCGGAAAGGCCCUGCUUUUGUGGGGUGCCCGAGUGGCGAACGGGUGAGUAACACGUGAGUAACCUGCCCUUGACUUUGGGAUAACUUCAGGAAACUGGGGCUAAUACCGGAUAGGAGCUCCUGCUGCAUUGUGGGGGUUGGAAAGUUUCGGCGGUUGGGGAUGGACUCGCGGCUUAUCAGCUUGUUGGUGGGGUAGUGGCUUACCAAGGCUUUGACGGGUAGCCGGCCUGAGAGGGUGACCGGCCACAUUGGGACUGAGAUACGGCCCAGACUCCUACGGGAGGCAGCAGUGGGGAAUAUUGCACAAUGGGCGGAAGCCUGAUGCAGCAACGCCGCGUGCGGGAUGACGGCCUUCGGGUUGUAAACCGCUUUCGCCUGUGACGAAGCGUGAGUGACGGUAAUGGGUAAAGAAGCACCGGCUAACUACGUG